This 465-nucleotide ribosomal RNA is filed under the name uncultured Burkholderiales bacterium. Its description in RNAcentral is "bacterial SSU rRNA". It matches the Rfam family "Bacterial small subunit ribosomal RNA", at positions 338 to 795 of the family's 1533-position model. Lineage: Bacteria; Pseudomonadati; Pseudomonadota; Betaproteobacteria; Burkholderiales. The record is from RNAcentral.
CCUACGGGGGGCAGCAGUGGGGAAUUUUGGACAAUGGGCGAAAGCCUGAUCCAGCCAUGCCGCGUGUGGGAAGAAGGCCUUCGGGUUGUAAACCACUUUUGUCAGGGAAGAAAAGGCUUUAGAUAAUACCUGAGGUCGAUGACGGUACCUGAAGAAUAAGCACCGGCUAACUACGUGCCAGCAGCCGCGGUAAUACGUAGGGUGCAAGCGUUAAUCGGAAUUAUUGGGCGUAAAGCGUGCGCAGGCGGUUUUGCAAGACAGAUGUGAAAUCCCCGGGCUUAACCUGGGAGCUGCAUUUGUGACUGCAAGGCUAGAGUGCGGCAGAGGGGGAUGGAAUUCCGCGUGUAGCAGUGAAAUGCGUAGAUAUGCGGAGGAACACCGAUGGCGAAGGCAAUCCCCUGGGCCUGCACUGACGCUCAUGCACGAAAGCGUGGGGAGCAAACAGGAUUAGAUACCCCUGUAGUC